UACGUAGGGGGCAAGCGUUGUCCGGAAUUAUUGGGCGUAAAGGGCGCGUAGGCGGCCAUUCAAGUCGGAGGUGAAAGCCCAGGGCUCAACCCUGGAAUUGCCUUCGAUACUGUUUGGCUAGAGACCGGAAGAGGUAAGUGGAACUGCGAGUGUAGAGGUGAAAUUCGUAGAUAUUCGCAAGAACACCAGUGGCGAAGGCGGCUUACUGGUCCGGUUCUGACGCUGAGGCGCGAAAGCGUGGGGAGCGAACAGG
Molecule: ribosomal RNA, 253 nt
Filed under: uncultured bacterium
Lineage: Bacteria
Description: partial 16S ribosomal RNA
Rfam family: Bacterial small subunit ribosomal RNA
Source: RNAcentral